Cinara cedri is the source of this 644-nucleotide non-coding RNA. Lineage: Eukaryota; Metazoa; Arthropoda; Insecta; Hemiptera; Aphididae. The record is from the annotation of a GenBank genome assembly.
UAAAAAAACAAUAUUAAAAAAAAUUAACAAUUAUACCUAACAACCUAACCUAGCCUAACAACCAUUUUUUUCAUGUGAUAUUUAUUUUAACAACUUACUACUGUAGUACUGUAGUUGUACGAUUAUAGAUAAAUCUAUAAUGGUACCUACAAUAUGUUAACAUCGAUCGUUAUCUAUACGUACUUAUAUUAUUUUAUUCUUACUUAAUUGAUAAUAAUAGAUAUGUACCAAGGUAAUAAUCACGGUCUUAGAAAAUAAGGUCGGACAACUAUAAUUUCUUAUCAGCAUUCCGCUUAAUGAGGCAAAUUCAUUUCCAAAUUGUACCAUUGUAAAAUUGAACGCUACCCCACAUACUUAUUUUGAGAUUAUGAUAUUAUAUUACUUUAAAAAACCAUGAACCACUGAUAUAUAUUAUACAAGUCGGCUGACUUCGUAUAUUGUUGUAUGCUUCGAUAUGUCAUCCGGCAUUUGUAAAUAGGUUAAUGUUUGCUAAAAUAGACCUCUUUUUGAAAAUACCUAUAGAUCUAUCUACCUAUAUGAUAUUCACAAUUCCCAUAUUUCCAAUUAUUCCAAUUAAAUAAUUUUUGAUAUUUUAUCAAGUGAAUUAUUAAAAAAUUCAUCCAAGGAAUGUGCUUUAACAAGGA